AUAAUGGGUCAGCGACUUAUAUUCUGUAGCAAGGUUAACCGAAUAGGGGAGCCGAAGGGAAACCGAGUCUUAACUGGGCGUUAAGUUGCAGGGUAUAGACCCGAAACCCGGUGAUCUAGCCAUGGGCAGGUUGAAGGUUGGGUAACACUAACUGGAGGACCGAACCGACUAAUGUUGAAAAAUUAGCGGAUGACUUGUGGCUGGGGGUGAAAGGCCAAUCAAACCGGGAGAUAGCUGGUUCUCCCCGAAAGCUAUUUAGGUAGCGCCUCGUGAAUUCAUCUCCGGGGGUAGAGCACUGUUUCGGCAAGGGGGUCAUCCCGACUUACCAACCCGAUGCAAACUGCGAAUACCGGAGAAUGUUAUCACGGGAGACACACGGCGGGUGCUAACGUCCGUCGUGAAGAGGGAAACAACCCAGACCGCCAGCUAAGGUCCCAAAGUCAUGGUUAAGUGGGAAACGAUGUGGGAAGGCCCAGACAGCCAGGAUGUUGGCUUAGAAGCAGCCAUCAUUUAAAGAAAGCGUAAUAGCUCACUGGUCGAGUCGGCCUGCGCGGAAGAUGUAACGGGGCUAAACCAUGCACCGAAGCUGCGGCAGCGACG
RNAcentral lists this ribosomal RNA (600 nucleotides) under Escherichia coli. RNAcentral's name for it is "partial 23S ribosomal RNA". It matches the Rfam family "Bacterial large subunit ribosomal RNA", at positions 612 to 1213 of the family's 2925-position model. Lineage: Bacteria; Pseudomonadati; Pseudomonadota; Gammaproteobacteria; Enterobacterales; Enterobacteriaceae. The record is from RNAcentral.